CAGUAGCCGCGGUAAUACGUAGGGUGCAAGCGUUAAUCGGAAUUACUGGGCGUAAAGCGUGCGCAGGCGGUUAUAUAAGACAGAUGUGAAAUCCCCGGGCUCAACCUGGGAACUGCAUUUGUGACUGUAUAGCUAGAGUACGGCAGAGGGGGAUGGAAUUCCGCGUGUAGCAGUGAAAUGCGUAGAUAUGCGGAGGAACACCGAUGGCGAAGGCAAUCUCCUGGGCCUGUACUGACGCUCAUGCACGAAAGCGUGGGGAGCAAACAGGAUUAGAUACCCCAGUAGUCCCUGUCUCUUAUAC
This 301-nucleotide ribosomal RNA is filed under the name uncultured bacterium. RNAcentral describes it as "partial 16S ribosomal RNA". It matches the Rfam family "Bacterial small subunit ribosomal RNA", at positions 509 to 807 of the family's 1533-position model. The record is from RNAcentral.